GAAUAUUGGACAAUGGGGGGAACCCUGAUCCAGCCAUGCCGCGUGUGUGAUGAAGGCCUUUUGGUUGUAAAGCACUUUCAGCGAGGAGGAGGCUUGUCUAGUUAAUACCUAGAGAUAGUGGACGUUACUCUCAUCAUAAGCACCGCCUAACUCUGUGCCAGCAGCCGCGGUAAUACAGAGGGUGCAAGCGUUAAUCGGAUGUACUGGGCGUAAAGCGCGCGUAGGUGGCCAAUUAAGUCAAAUGUGAAAUCCCCGAGCUUAACUUGGGAAUUGCAUUCGAUACUGGUUGGCUAGAGUAUGGGAGAGGAUGGUAGAAUUCCAGGUGUAGCGGUGAAAUGCGUAGAGAUCUGGAGGAAUACCGAUGGCGAAGGCAGCCAUCUGGCCUAAUACUGACACUGAGGUGCGAAAGCAUGGGGAGCAAAC
Molecule: ribosomal RNA, 423 nt
Filed under: uncultured bacterium
Lineage: Bacteria
Description: bacterial SSU rRNA
Rfam family: Bacterial small subunit ribosomal RNA
Source: RNAcentral